RNAcentral lists this ribosomal RNA (504 nucleotides) under uncultured bacterium. RNAcentral describes it as "partial 16S ribosomal RNA". It matches the Rfam family "Bacterial small subunit ribosomal RNA", at positions 30 to 523 of the family's 1533-position model. The record is from RNAcentral.
AUUGAACGCUGGCGGCAAGCCUAACACAUGCAAGUCGAACGGUAGCACAGAGAGCUUGCUCUCGGGUGACGAGUGGCGGACGGGUGAGUAAUGUCUGGGAAACUGCCCGAUGGAGGGGGAUAGCUACUGGAAACGGUAGCUAAUACCGCAUAACGUCUUCGGACCAAAGUGGGGGACCUUCGGGCCUCACACCAUCGGAUGUGCCCAGAUGGGAUUAGCUAGUAGGUGGGGUAAUGGCUCACCUAGGCGACGAUCCCUAGCUGGUCUGAGAGGAUAACCAGCCACACUGGAACUGAGACACGGUCCAGACUCCUACGGGAGGCAGCAGUGGGGAAUAUUGCACAAUGGGCGCAAGCCUGAUGCAGCCAUGCCGCGUGUAUGAAGAAGGCCUUCGGGUUGUAAAGUACUUUCAGCGGGGAGGAAGGCGAUGGAGUUAAUAGCUUCAUCGAUUGACGUUACCCGCAGAAGAAGCACCGGCUAACUCCGUGCCAGCAGCCGCCGUAA